RNAcentral lists this ribosomal RNA (460 nucleotides) under uncultured bacterium. Its description in RNAcentral is "partial 16S ribosomal RNA". It matches the Rfam family "Bacterial small subunit ribosomal RNA", at positions 338 to 795 of the family's 1533-position model. The record is from RNAcentral.
CCUACGGGUGGCAGCAGUGAGGAAUAUUGGUCAAUGGGCGCGAGCCUGAACCAGCCAAGUAGCGUGAAGGAUGACUGCCCUACGGGCUGUAAACUUCUUUUAUAAAGGAAUAAAGUGAGGCACGUGUGUCUUUUUGUAUGUAUUUUAUGAAUAAGGAUCGGCUAACUCCGUGCCAGCAGCCGCGGUAAUACGGAGGAUCCGAGCGUUAACCGGAUUUAUUGGGUUUAAAGGGAGCGUAGAUGGGUUGUUAAGUCAGUUGUGAAAGUUUGCGGCUCAACCGUAAAAUUGCAAUUGAUACUGGCAGUCUUGAGUACAGUUGAGGUAAGCGGAAUUCGUGGUGUAGCGGUAAAAUGCUUAGAUAUCACGAAGAACUCCGAUUGCGAAGGCAGUUCACUGGACUGCAACUGACACUGAGGCUCGAAAGUGUGGGUAUCAAACAGGAUUAGAUACCCCUGUAGUC